RNAcentral lists this ribosomal RNA (1527 nucleotides) under Leclercia adecarboxylata. RNAcentral describes it as "bacterial SSU rRNA". It matches the Rfam family "Bacterial small subunit ribosomal RNA". The record is from RNAcentral. Lineage: Bacteria; Pseudomonadati; Pseudomonadota; Gammaproteobacteria; Enterobacterales; Enterobacteriaceae.
AGAGUUUGAUCAUGGCUCAGAUUGAACGCUGGCGGCAGGCCUAACACAUGCAAGUCGAACGGUAGCACAGAGAGCUUGCUCUCGGGUGACGAGUGGCGGACGGGUGAGUAAUGUCUGGGAAACUGCCUGAUGGAGGGGGAUAACUACUGGAAACGGUAGCUAAUACCGCAUAACGUCGCAAGACCAAAGAGGGGGACCUUCGGGCCUCUUGCCAUCAGAUGUGCCCAGAUGGGAUUAGCUAGUAGGUGGGGUAACGGCUCACCUAGGCGACGAUCCCUAGCUGGUCUGAGAGGAUGACCAGCCACACUGGAACUGAGACACGGUCCAGACUCCUACGGGAGGCAGCAGUGGGGAAUAUUGCACAAUGGGCGCAAGCCUGAUGCAGCCAUGCCGCGUGUAUGAAGAAGGCCUUCGGGUUGUAAAGUACUUUCAGCGGGGAGGAAGGUGUUGUGGUUAAUAACCACAGCAAUUGACGUUACCCGCAGAAGAAGCACCGGCUAACUCCGUGCCAGCAGCCGCGGUAAUACGGAGGGUGCAAGCGUUAAUCGGAAUUACUGGGCGUAAAGCGCACGCAGGCGGUCUGUCAAGUCGGAUGUGAAAUCCCCGGGCUCAACCUGGGAACUGCAUUCGAAACUGGCAGGCUAGAGUCUUGUAGAGGGGGGUAGAAUUCCAGGUGUAGCGGUGAAAUGCGUAGAGAUCUGGAGGAAUACCGGUGGCGAAGGCGGCCCCCUGGACAAAGACUGACGCUCAGGUGCGAAAGCGUGGGGAGCAAACAGGAUUAGAUACCCUGGUAGUCCACGCCGUAAACGAUGUCGACUUGGAGGUUGUUCCCUUGAGGAGUGGCUUCCGGAGCUAACGCGUUAAGUCGACCGCCUGGGGAGUACGGCCGCAAGGUUAAAACUCAAAUGAAUUGACGGGGCCCGCACAAGCGGUGGAGCAUGUGGUUUAAUUCGAUGCAACGCGAAGAACCUUACCUACUCUUGACAUCCAGAGAACUUUCCAGAGAUGGAUUGGUGCCUUCGGGAACUCUGAGACAGGUGCUGCAUGGCUGUCGUCAGCUCGUGUUGUGAAAUGUUGGGUUAAGUCCCGCAACGAGCGCAACCCUUAUCCUUUGUUGCCAGCGGUUAGGCCGGGAACUCAAAGGAGACUGCCAGUGAUAAACUGGAGGAAGGUGGGGAUGACGUCAAGUCAUCAUGGCCCUUACGAGUAGGGCUACACACGUGCUACAAUGGCGCAUACAAAGAGAAGCGACCUCGCGAGAGCAAGCGGACCUCAUAAAGUGCGUCGUAGUCCGGAUUGGAGUCUGCAACUCGACUCCAUGAAGCCGGAAUCGCUAGUAAUCGUAGAUCAGAAUGCUACGGUGAAUACGUUCCCGGGCCUUGUACACACCGCCCGUCACACCAUGGGAGUGGGUUGCAAAAGAAGUAGGUAGCUUAACCUUCGGGAGGGCGCUUACCACUUUGUGAUUCAUGACUGGGGUGAAGUCGUAACAAGGUAACCGUAGGGGAACCUGCGGUUGGAUCACCU